This 781-nucleotide ribosomal RNA is filed under the name Enterobacter sp. CS25. RNAcentral's name for it is "bacterial SSU rRNA". It matches the Rfam family "Bacterial small subunit ribosomal RNA", at positions 657 to 1432 of the family's 1533-position model. The record is from RNAcentral. Lineage: Bacteria; Pseudomonadati; Pseudomonadota; Gammaproteobacteria; Enterobacterales; Enterobacteriaceae.
GGGGUUAGAAAUUCCCAGGUGUAGCGGGUGAAAUGCGUAGAAGAUGUGGAGGAAUACCGGUGGGCGAAGGCGGCCCCCUGGACAAAGACUGACGCUCAGGUGCGAAAGCGUGGGGGAGCAAACAGGAUUAGAUACCCUGGUAGUCCACGCCGUAAACGAUGUCGACUUGGAGGUUGUUCCCUUGAGGCGUGGCUUCCGGAGCUAACGCGUUAAGUCGACCCCCUGGGAAGUACGGCCGCAAGGUUAAAACUCAAAUGAAUUGACGGGGGCCCGCCCAAGCGGUGGAGCAUGUGGUUUAAUUUGAUGCAACGGGAAGACCCUUACCUACUUUUGCCAUCCAGAGAACUUACCAGAGAUGAUUUGGUGCCUUCGGGAAUUUUGAGACAGGUGCUGCAUGGCUGUCGUCAGUUCGUGUUGGGAAAUGUUGGGUUAAGUCCCGCAACGAGCGCAACCCUUUUCCUUUGUUGCCAGCGGUUCGGCCGGGAACUCAAAGGAGACUGCCAGUGAUAAACCGGAGGAAGGUGGGGAUGACGUCAAGUCAUCAUGGCCCUUACGAGUAGGGCUACACACGUGCUACAAUGGCGCAUACAAAGAGAAGCGACCUCGCGAGAGCAAGCGGACCUCAUAAAGUGCGUCGUAGUCCGGAUUGGAGUUUGCAACUCGACUCCAUGAAGUCGGAAUCGCUAGUAAUCGUAGAUCAGAAUGGUACGGUGAAUACGUUCCCGGGCCUUGUACACACCGCCCGUCCCACCAUGGGAGUGGGUUGCAAAAGAAGUAGGUA